UGGGUGGUUGGAAAUGGCAGUUCUGGACUGUAGUGAUCAUAUGGCCAUAUUAUGGAUACUGCAACUUCCAGCGCUAAAAAUGCUUUGAUAUCUUCUAUUACCCAGCUGUGAUCGGUUUAUCUUAACACUUUGGCACUGAAGAAGCUGGUUGCUUGGUUAGUGAAUCUCUGUGCUGACGGCUGCUCCUACACACUCUGUCAUGCCUGUCCUUCCAAGUGGUGCCAUUGUCGGUGCAUCUUCUGGUAAAGCUGUUUGGCCGAAGGGUGCAGGAUGGAGUUUCAAACAAAGGAAAAAUAACUGCAGUGCAAGCCUCUCCACUUCUUCAUCAAGCACUAAAGGAAUAUGGAGUUUCUACACUGAUGCUUCCCAUGGGAUCAAAAUCGGUCCCUUUACAGUACUGAUCAUAAGUAUUCUUUUUAUUGCUUUUGUAAUAAUAUUACACAUCUGGGCCAAGUAUACUCGUUCCUAGACUCAGUUGUAGCCAUGUAGUCUUUGCUACUUGCAUUACUGGACAGCAUGAGUUGGGGUGGGUGGAGAAAUGGGGACGCACCUGUCCCAAAACUAUAGUGGGUUUAAAAUUUUUUGUGAAAUGUUUGCAAGCUUUCUCUUUAGACUAAAAGGGGACUUUUAAAAAAUAGUGAGGAUUCCCUUCGCUCUUUUAUUUGGCUGUUGUUGUUUUUGAUCUUUAAAAUGGAAACUUGUUAUACUUAGUAUCUCUGGUUCCUAAAGUUUGUCAGUCACCGGACUAUCCACCUGUAAAAAUGUGUGGAAGAACUCUUUUUAAAUGCAUAAAACAAGGCACUAAGAACAACAUCUUAUGCAAGUUUGAAACAACAAGCUUUUGGAAUGAGUGAUCUACUGGAAGUUUAAUUCUGAUAUAUUUGGAGGAGUUAGUGUUGCAGUUGCCUUAUCUAAUUAUUUAUAUGUAUGCAUAAACUGAUUACAUUUGAUAUGAUUUUAGACAACAUACUGUACAGAUUUAAAAAGUACAUAAACUAUGUUAUCAUAUAGGAAGAUACAGAUUGUAACAUCUAUAGCAAAAAGGCAUGGCAUGACAUAGCUUGCCAGAGUAAUAUGGUUAUUUUGGAUAUGUUUUUAUUUUGAAAGUUGGGGUUCUCCCAAUUCCUUCACUUACUUAA
Mauremys mutica (yellowpond turtle) is the source of this 1139-nucleotide long non-coding RNA. RefSeq lists it as uncharacterized. The transcript is spliced from 3 exons. Lineage: Eukaryota; Metazoa; Chordata; Testudines; Geoemydidae. The record is from RefSeq and is a predicted model, not a curated record.